CGUUUUCUCUCUCUACUCUACCUCUUCAUUUUUCUAUUUUCUCUCUCUACUUUUCUCUUUUAUAUCUUCUCAUCAGCCAAACACUUUUUCUCUCUCCUCCCUUAUUAUUAUUAUUAUAAUAGGCAAAGGCAGAGGCUAAGCCAACUGCUCUGCUCGCUAUUCUAAGCCCAAAGACAGCAUCUCGUUGCUUAGAUUUUCUAUGUCCCUUUAAAAUCUGAAACCAUUAUUAACCAAUGGACCAACACCAAGAAUCUAAACAGAACAGAAAACGUCCCCUCGACGACCCAGACUGUGACUCGCCCGAGUCUAAACUCAUCCGGGUUGCUUCCAAAUGUAAUUCGACUGAUCUCGGUGAAACUCACCUGGAUUCGGACGAUUCCGGUUUGAAAUCGUGUAAUAAUGGUGUUACUCUUGUUGACUCUGGUGUUAACUCGUCGGAUGCUAAGUGGAUCCAAGACGAUUUGCUUAACAUUCUUGAUGAGUCGGAUGAGUCAACUAUUCAAGGCCUUGACUCGGUGAUUAAAAGCUUUGAAGAAGAAAUCCUCGUUCCGGUUCCCGGUCCGGUUAUGGCGUAUGUAGCGGCUGG
This 586-nucleotide unclassified non-coding RNA is filed under the name Hevea brasiliensis (rubber tree). The record is from RNAcentral. Lineage: Eukaryota; Viridiplantae; Streptophyta; Magnoliopsida; Malpighiales; Euphorbiaceae.